Molecule: small nuclear RNA, 107 nt
Organism: Phacochoerus africanus (Common warthog)
Lineage: Eukaryota; Metazoa; Chordata; Mammalia; Artiodactyla; Suidae
Source: RefSeq, a predicted model, not a curated record
GUGCUCGCUUCAGCAGCACGUAUUCUAACACUGGACUGAUACAGAGAAGAUUAGCCUGGCCCCUGUGCAACGAUGACCCACAAAUUCAUGAAGCGUUCCAUAGUGGG